Molecule: long non-coding RNA, 298 nt
Filed under: Physcomitrium patens
Lineage: Eukaryota; Viridiplantae; Streptophyta; Bryopsida; Funariales; Funariaceae
Description: long non-coding RNA (PPAT_LNC004087)
Source: RNAcentral
CAAAUAAUAUCAAUCAUAUUUCCAUUCCAUAAUUCACUUCACAAUAUUCAAAAACUCUCAAUCCUCUUAUUCAAAGAAAAUAACAAACAAAAGAAAAGAGGUAGCAUGAAGCUUACCCCGGCUUACACUAUCACAGUGAUAGCACCUUAAUUAACUUCUACAACUCCUAUAUACUUUCCCCUGAUUCUCCAUAUUCUAACCGUAAUUCUGUAAUUAAUCGCUUUUAAUAACUAAAUCACUCAUCCCUCCUCCUGAAUUUCCUAUUAUAUGGACUAUUAAUAUAUUUUACCAAUAUCUU